AGCCCGGUGGUGUAGCUCAGUAUAUGUUUAAUAUACCAAACAAAAUGGCCAAGCAUCUGGGGCCUUGAACCCCGUGACCACGGUUCGAAUCCGUGCCGGGCUACCA
This 106-nucleotide transfer RNA is filed under the name Promethearchaeota archaeon. RNAcentral's name for it is "Candidatus Lokiarchaeota archaeon tRNA-Gln". The record is from RNAcentral. Lineage: Archaea; Promethearchaeati; Promethearchaeota.